GGGGUGUGGGGGGGUGUGUGUAUGUGGGGUGGAGGAGGAGGACGGGGGGGAGGGAGAGGGAGGAAGGAGGGGGGUAAGGGUAGGGGGGGGGAAAGCGGCUCUACACUGCUGUGAGCGGCCGGGAGGAUUCACCGCCGCCCUCCGCCGGGAGAAGAGCCGCCUCCUUCCCACAAUGCACCGCGCCCGGCCGCCGCGGCGGGGCCCGGAUGAGCGGUGCGCAUGCGCCCGCGCCCGCACGACGCUCUACCCCCCCCCGCCCCCAGCGCGCGCGCGGGAGGGCGGCGCGCCUGCGCACGGCGAGGGGCCGCCGGCGAUGCCGCGCAUGCGCAGAGGCGCCGGGCAGGGCCCUGUCAACGGCCGGGCCUCCCUGAGGGGAGCAACGUCUAUCUGUGGUACACUGACUGUAUUUACCUUAAAAAUGAACUGAGGACGUAGCGCGAGGAGGAGUCAUUACUCUGCAUCCCAGAUGGAUAAUGAGAGAAACGAUGAGUGUUUUAAGCAAUAAAGUAAUCAAAGAGGGAGUAUGCCUAGUGUGAAGAUGUUGCCAGGUCUGUCAUAGGUAAAAAUGAAGCAAAGCUUAGGAAAAAAAAAAAAAAACAAGAAACAGAAAAACUGGAUAGUUGGAAGAGGAAGAAAAAGACUCAUUCACCAAUUGUGGCCUGCUGGUAGUGUGAGGAAGUAGAUACAGCAGCUGUGAAAUGUAUAAAUGCUGAUAGCAAGUGAUAAUUGUUUCAGGUGUAACAGUGCUAUGGGGUAAGAAUUCAGCUGUGAUACAUCUUUUUAUAUAGCUUUAAAAUAACAUAAAAAGUGUCCUGACAUGGGGAUUUGCUGGGCUUUAGGAAGCAUAAUCCAAAUGUACGAAAUUGCCAAAGUACGUGUCUUUUCAAAAAAGUGCAUAAAGGAAAAACAACAAAAAAAAGUACUCAUUUCAUUCCUUUUGUCUGGCUUCAACAUUUGUAAACUUUUUUGUUUAGUAUGAGGAGGAUAAAAGCUGUCUUUUACAUGAGGGAGCUUUAUCAUCAAGUGCCCUUCAAACUAGGAAUCUCAAAGUAUGUUUUGUUGGACUGAUUUCCAUAACAUCAAUUUAUUUGGUGUUAAUUCUUUGCCAGAACUCUAACUCGGGCAUGUAGGCAAGUUCAUUCCUUUUAAGUAGUCUGUAGUAGUCAUUUAAGCCAAAUCUAAAGAUAAGUUUAGCUGCACCUGACUGCUUUCACUUUACUGGGCAAUCGCCAACGUUUGUAUACAGCAAACGGUACGAGCGAGUUGAUCAGAUAAGCAAUCUUUUUUUAAAUACACUCAUUUACCUUUAGGUUAGAUUUAAUUCAGGUAACUGCCAUCUGAUUUGCUCUGCAGAUUGCACAAAUGUUAACGCUGACUCAAGGGAACGCACAGGAGAGAGCAGGAUCAUCUUCAUUUGCAGUAAUAGUUUAGAAGCAUGACUGUAUAAUGUUAAUGUGAAGCUCCCUAAAUUUCAAACGCUUAAAACCCAUUUCGGUAUGAAAAAGUACUGCUUCACCCUUAAAUAAUUGCUAUUAUCUUUUGCCCAAGAUUGAAGGGUCUUUUCCCCUCCAGAUUGAUUCACCAAACAAAAGUGCGUGCGUGCUAAAACUCCUUAGGGUUCUGAACAAGCAGAACCAGAACAGUAUUAAAUAAACAUAUUUCUAAAUGGCUGCUUCUGACCGUAGCUUCUGUUGAUAUUGCAUCAUUUGAAUCACUAUACAAGCAUGUUAUGGCUGUUAUCUUCUAAAUGUGUAUACAUUUGCAUAUGAGUUUUCCUAAUGAAAUGGAUGCAAUGACUUGUGCAUGUUAACUUACUGAAGUCUGCCAGAUGAUGUUUUUAUGGGGAGACUAAUUUUUAAGUGAUCCCUAUACAAUGGGAAUAAAAUGAAGUUAAUUCUUUUCAAAACCCAACAGUAUUACUAGUAAGUCCAUUAUUUUAGUUUACAUUACUACUUAGUUGGAAGUUCCAAAAAUUAGCUUCUGUUGUAGAGUACAGACAUCACCGAAACCCUUUUUUUUCCCUGCAGAGUAGCUUUUGGGGUGUACUUACAUAACUUGUAUGAUAGCGAUUUUGUCUUAAAUAAUCCUCCAGGUUAUUCAAGUGUUCACAGUAUUUUUCCAUGUGUGUCUGUCUAUUGUCUGUUCACGUUGAAUGGGGUUUACAGACUGUAUUAGUAGUGUUGUACAUAUAAUCUGUAUUGUCUGGAUAAAUUAUUCUUAAAGGAA
Long non-coding RNA from Chroicocephalus ridibundus (black-headed gull), 2226 nucleotides. RefSeq lists it as uncharacterized. The transcript is spliced from 2 exons. The record is from RefSeq and is a predicted model, not a curated record. Lineage: Eukaryota; Metazoa; Chordata; Aves; Charadriiformes; Laridae.